Molecule: ribosomal RNA, 225 nt
Filed under: uncultured bacterium
Lineage: Bacteria
Description: partial 16S ribosomal RNA
Rfam family: Bacterial small subunit ribosomal RNA
Source: RNAcentral
GACAGAGGGUGCAAACGUUGCUCGGAAUCACUGGGCGUAAAGGGCGUGUAGGCGGGAAGGAAAGUCAGAUGUGAAAUCCCUGGGCUCAACCCAGGAACUGCAUUUGAAACUCCCUUUCUUGAGUGUCGGAGAGGAAAGCGGAAUUCCUGGUGUAGAGGUGAAAAUUCGUAGAUAUCAGGAGGAACACCGGUGGCGAAGGCGGCUUUCUGGACGAUCGACUGACGU